GUGUCAGCAGCCGCGGUAAUACGAAGGGUGCGAGCGUUAAUCGGAAUUACUGGGCGUAAAGCGCGCGUAGGUGGUUCAUUAAGUUAGGAGUGAAAGCCCCGGGCUCAACCUGGGAAUUGCUUCUAAAACUGGUGAGCUAGAGUACGGUAGAGGGUGGUGGAAUUUCCUGUGUAGCGGUGAAAUGCGUAGAUAUAGGAAGGAACAUCAGUGGCGAAGGCGACCACCUGGACUGAUACUGACACUGAGGUGCGAAAGCGUGGGGAGCAAACAGGAUUAGAAACCCCCGUAGUCC
RNAcentral lists this ribosomal RNA (292 nucleotides) under uncultured prokaryote. RNAcentral describes it as "partial 16S ribosomal RNA". It matches the Rfam family "Bacterial small subunit ribosomal RNA", at positions 505 to 796 of the family's 1533-position model. The record is from RNAcentral.